CUAAUCUUUUUCUCUCACAGCCGCACCCUUCACCCCCUGUUCUCUCUCUCUCUUCACGCCUCUUCCUCCCUUCAUCCCUCUUCCAUUUUUGGCUAAAAUCCCACUUUCCUUUAGCCGUGCACAUACUUGCCAACUCCAUUUCCAUAUAAGUUUUCCUCUCUCCUUUUAUAUACGAUCUGGUCAAACACAAAUGGCCAAAACUACUUCUGAAAUUCUGAAAAAAAAAGAGUAACUUUUCAGUGAUUAGCAUAAGAUUCCUUCACGGGUCGAUUCAAACGGCUUUGAGUUUUUUGUUUGGAGCCAAAAAUCGUGAAAUUCAAAAAUAUAAAACCCUAGACUCCACCUAGAAAUACAUCCGGAAGUCAUAGUCGAAAAGGGUUUUUUUUUGGAGAACCACGGAACAUUUUACCCUAUUCGACAUUUCCACCUUCCACUACUACUUGAAGUUUUAGCCUUGUUCUAAUUCGAGUCUGUUUCGAGGUCUUUUUUUGGAGCAGCUUGAAUUUUUCUAAAAAAAAAUACCAAGAACAGUCUCACUUUAUUUUCUUGACCUCGAUUUUUAAAUACAAAAGCAUUCACUCUAUAUUACUCUAUUAUUGUUUCGAAUCCGUCAAUACAAGAGUAGAUUCGAGACCCCGACGACCCCAAUUCACUGCACCAACAGAAGGGACUCGUCAUUUCCCGCAUUCGGUGUUGAGCUAAAAAUCCCAACGUAAUUUCUCUCGAGUCAGCCCAUCAGCCCAUCCGCAGCAAAAAUCCAUAAAAAUUUUCGCUGGGCCGAGGCCCAUAACAGUGGCAGUAAACAGCAGCAGCAGAUCCGCGAUAGUCGGCCUAAAUGGGCCGAUUCAUUAAAUUCGAAAUACUGGGCCUAAAUCCCAACAGCAGCAUGAUCGUAGCAAUCUUAAAAUGGGCUGAGCCCAUUUACUUAUUAGCUCCUCUACUUUAUAUUUUUCGUGCAUUUAAUCUGUAUUAUUUGACUAACCCCUUACUUUGUUUGUUUUUCUUAGCUUAAAUGAAUUAUAAGGAAUUAGGGUGGUUAGUUUAGAAUGAUGGGUAGUUAAUCUAAGGGAAUUAAUAACUAAUUGCACAAAUUACAUUCUCUUCUAUUUAUGUUAAAACUAUUUAUAGAAUCUAUAA
Molecule: long non-coding RNA, 1137 nt
Organism: Lycium barbarum (goji berry)
Lineage: Eukaryota; Viridiplantae; Streptophyta; Magnoliopsida; Solanales; Solanaceae
Exons: 2
Source: RefSeq, a predicted model, not a curated record